GCAAGGGCACUCUAAUGAGACUGCCGGUGACAACCGGAGGAAGUGGGGAUGACAUCAAGUCCUCAUGGCCCUUAUGGGUAGGGCUUCACACGUCAUACAAUGGUCGGUACAGAGGGUUGCCAAGCCGCGAGGUGGAGCCAAUCCCAGAAAGCCGAUCGUAGUCCGGAUUGUUCUCUGCAACUCGAGAGCAUGAAGUCGGAAUCGCUAGUAAUCGCGGAUCAGCAUGUCGCGGUGAAUACGUUCCCGGGUCUU
RNAcentral lists this ribosomal RNA (252 nucleotides) under uncultured Thiobacillus sp. RNAcentral's name for it is "partial 16S ribosomal RNA". It matches the Rfam family "Bacterial small subunit ribosomal RNA", at positions 1129 to 1382 of the family's 1533-position model. Lineage: Bacteria; Pseudomonadati; Pseudomonadota; Betaproteobacteria; Nitrosomonadales; Thiobacillaceae. The record is from RNAcentral.